GCGAGUAUUGUAUAAGGGUUAUUAUGUCGAACUUCCAAUUCGAUGAUAUCAGUUCAAAUCUGAUUACUCGUA
This 72-nucleotide transfer RNA is filed under the name Mixia osmundae IAM 14324. It matches the Rfam family "tRNA". Rfam says of the family: Transfer RNA (tRNA) molecules are approximately 80 nucleotides in length. Their secondary structure includes four short double-helical elements and three loops (D, anti-codon, and T loops). The record is from Rfam by way of RNAcentral. Lineage: Eukaryota; Fungi; Basidiomycota; Mixiomycetes; Mixiales; Mixiaceae.